This 18-nucleotide unclassified non-coding RNA is filed under the name Chlamydomonas reinhardtii. RNAcentral describes it as "small RNA Cre_1837". Lineage: Eukaryota; Viridiplantae; Chlorophyta; Chlorophyceae; Chlamydomonadales; Chlamydomonadaceae. The record is from RNAcentral.
GGCAAGGCUGCGGUUUGA